This 429-nucleotide unclassified non-coding RNA is filed under the name Hevea brasiliensis (rubber tree). Lineage: Eukaryota; Viridiplantae; Streptophyta; Magnoliopsida; Malpighiales; Euphorbiaceae. The record is from RNAcentral.
CUCUCUCUCUCCUUUCUUCUUCUCGAUUUCGUCCUUCUCUAUUCUGUUUAUUCAUUUACUUCUCCUCUUUCCUCCUCUAAUUUUGGUGUUAUGGUGUCUUGAGAAUUCUGCUACAUAACAAAUUGGUAUCGGAGCAAUUAGAUCAGUGAGCAACUGCUGGAAAUUGUUUCAUGGGAGUUGCAUUGAUGGCAGAUUACUCUUCCCAAAUAACAGUUUUCUUGGGAGCAAAACACAAUCAGAUCAUCAUAACAUGGAAAUAGAACCUUGGCAACAAGAGAAAUUGAUGGGCAUUUUUUGAAAGGAUGGCGAGAUGGAUGCAAAUCCUAGAGGAGUUGUGUCAAAGAUUGGAUCAGAUUGUUAGAAAUGGGGAAAAUUUGAGAAGCAUCAUGUCAAUAAACAUAUCAGUGAUGAAGAUCAACUUCUUGGAAA